This 253-nucleotide ribosomal RNA is filed under the name uncultured bacterium. RNAcentral describes it as "partial 16S ribosomal RNA". It matches the Rfam family "Bacterial small subunit ribosomal RNA", at positions 524 to 776 of the family's 1533-position model. The record is from RNAcentral.
UACGGGGGGUGCAAGCGUUGUUCGGAAUUACUGGGCGUAAAGGGCGCGUAGGCGGCCUUCUAAGUCGGACGUGAAAUCCCUCGGCUUAACCGAGGAACUGCGUCCGAUACUGAAAGGCUUGAAUCCGGGAGAGGGAUGUGGAAUUCCAGGUGUAGCGGUGAAAUGUGUAGAUAUCUGGAGGAACACCGGUGGCGAAGGCGGCAUCCUGGACCAACACUGACGCUGAGGAGCGAAAGCCAGGGGAGCAAACGGG